This is a long non-coding RNA of Ipomoea nil (Japanese morning glory), 615 nucleotides long. RefSeq lists it as uncharacterized. Lineage: Eukaryota; Viridiplantae; Streptophyta; Magnoliopsida; Solanales; Convolvulaceae. The record is from RefSeq and is a predicted model, not a curated record. The transcript is spliced from 2 exons.
UCCUUCUUUCUUAAAUCUUUUUCCGCUCCUUCCGCCCAUAUUUCUAGCGUAAGAAGCUGCUGAGCCACAAUCAAUCAUUCACGUCCUUCAUUCUCUCCCUAAGUACUGCCAGACAUUAAAACAAGAUACCCAGAGAUUUCGGUGUUAGAUUGAAGCAAUUCGAAGCAGAGAUUACGUUAAAGGAUUGAUGCAAUCUGAAGUAGAGAUUUUGUUAAAGAAUUGAAGCAAUCCAAGGGAUUCAAUGGGUUUGAUCGCUGAUCGCUGUUCAAUGUCCAAGUGGAGUGAUUGUUACAUGUUUUCUUCUAAUUUUAUUCAUCAAAGAAAUCUUGGACUACAUUUCUCAAACAACUGUUGCACUAGACAAAAACUAACACCAUGUCCGACGUUUAUUGAUGUAAGUUUUGUUUACCCUCUUAUUUCAAAUAUAAAUAAAUAUCAUUUUGAUAUACAAAUUAUUUGCAAUUGACAACUAUUUAUCUUACAUGUGCCACAGGAUCUCUGGAGAACAAUAUGUGAAAGCUGUUGAAUUGAGACAAUUGAAUUCAAGUGAUAUGUAUAUCUAGAUUUGACAAAUCCUGUAUGGUUCAUUAAAUUAGUGUGACAUGUUAUUCAAAA